GCUGGGUAUGGUGGCACAUGCCCGUAGUCCCAGUUACUCAGAAGGCUAUGACUGGAGAAUUGCUUGAGCCUAGGAGUUCAAAACCAACCUGGAGCCGGCCUGAUGGUGCACACCAGCAGAUCAGGAGGCUGAGACAGGAGGAUCAUGAGUUCAAAGCAGUCUCAGCAAUUUAGUGAGGCCCUAAGCAACUUAUCCAGAUCCUGUCUA
RNAcentral lists this small RNA (207 nucleotides) under Marmota monax (woodchuck). Lineage: Eukaryota; Metazoa; Chordata; Mammalia; Rodentia; Sciuridae. The record is from RNAcentral.